This 144-nucleotide small nucleolar RNA is filed under the name Jaculus jaculus (lesser Egyptian jerboa). Its description in RNAcentral is "Small nucleolar RNA SNORA33 (ENSJJAG00000007518.1)". It matches the Rfam family "Small nucleolar RNA SNORA33". From Rfam's summary of the family: ACA33 is a member of the H/ACA class of snoRNA that guide the sites of modification of uridines to pseudouridines. The record is from Rfam by way of RNAcentral. Lineage: Eukaryota; Metazoa; Chordata; Mammalia; Rodentia; Dipodidae.
AAGCCAAGCCAAUUAAUCUCCUUAUCUGAAUGUGUUUCUGCAGAAAUUUAGAAGUAGUUUCUAAGCAGCUGGCAAUAGUGAUACCAUUUUACAAGCCUUAAAGGACAACUGAUGCCAUUAUGGUCCCUUAAAUUGACUACAAUA